This 258-nucleotide ribosomal RNA is filed under the name uncultured bacterium. Its description in RNAcentral is "partial 16S ribosomal RNA". It matches the Rfam family "Bacterial small subunit ribosomal RNA", at positions 793 to 1055 of the family's 1533-position model. The record is from RNAcentral.
GUCCAUGCCGUAAACGAUGAUCACUAGCUGUUUGCGAUAUAAAGUAAGUGGCAAAGGGAAACCAUUAAGUGAUCCACCUGGGGAGUACGCCCGCAAGGGUGAAACUCAAAGGAAUUGACGGGGGCCCCGCACAAGCGGAGGAACAUGUGGUUUAAUUCGAUGAUACGCGAGGAACCUUACCUGGAUUUAAAUGGGGAGUGACAGACUUAGAGAUAGGUUUUUCUUCGGACACUCUUCAAGGUGCUGCAUGGUUGUCGU